Non-coding RNA from Octopus bimaculoides (California two-spot octopus), 102 nucleotides. Lineage: Eukaryota; Metazoa; Mollusca; Cephalopoda; Octopoda; Octopodidae. The record is from Rfam.
UUACUCGGUUGUAGAUAUACUAAAAUUCGAACGAUACAAAGAAGACUAGCAGGGUUACUGCGCAAGGGUGACACGCAUACUUGUGAAGCGCUCCAUAUUUUA